GUGUCAGAACGAACGCUGGCGGCAGGCUUAACACAUGCAAGUUGAGCGGGAUUCAUUUAUAGCUUGCUAUGGAUGAUGAGAGCAGCGCACUGGUGAGUAACACGUGGGAACAUGCCUUUUGGUGGGGGACAACAGUUGGAAACGACUGCUAAUACCGCAUACGCCCUGAGGGGAAAGAUUAAUUGCCGAAAGAUUGGCCCGCGGAAGAUUAGGUAGUAGGUGGGGUAACGGCCUACCUAGCCGACGAUCUAUAGCUGGUCUGAGAGGACGAUCAGCCACAUUGGAACUGAGACACGGUCCAGACUCCUACGGGAGGCAGCAGUGAGGAAUAUUGGGCAAUGGAGGGAACUCUGACCCAGCCAUGCCGCGUGAGUGAAGAAGGUUUUCGGAUUGUAAAGCUCUUUCAGAUGGGAAGAUGAUGACGGUACCAUCAGAAGAAGCACCGGCUAACUUCGUGCCAGCAGCUGC
This 468-nucleotide ribosomal RNA is filed under the name uncultured bacterium. RNAcentral's name for it is "bacterial SSU rRNA". It matches the Rfam family "Bacterial small subunit ribosomal RNA", at positions 21 to 518 of the family's 1533-position model. The record is from RNAcentral.